Molecule: long non-coding RNA, 4837 nt
Organism: Pan troglodytes (chimpanzee)
Lineage: Eukaryota; Metazoa; Chordata; Mammalia; Primates; Hominidae
Exons: 5
Source: RefSeq, a predicted model, not a curated record
UUUUUUUUUUUGGUAGAGAACGAGUCUCACUAUUUUGCCCAUGCUGGUCUUGAACUCCUGGGCUCAAGCGAUCCUCCCACCUCAGCCUCCCGAAAUGCUGGGAUUACAGGUGUGAGCCAGGGUGCCUGGCACUGUCUAUUUCUUACUGUCUCUCUCCGCCUGUCUGAUGAUCUUUGUCUCCCUGUUUCUCUCGUUCCCUCCCUGACUCUCAGUCAGUUUACCUCUCUGUCUCUCUGUCUGCUUCUGACAGUGUCUCCCUCUCUGUUUCUCUUGGCCUCUUGAAUUCUCUGUCUCUGAACAUGUGUGUCUGUCUCUCUUUCUCCAGGAUAAAGAAUGCUGGCCUCGGUGGGCACCCACAGUCCCUGCAGUUGGACUACCCUGCUCCCAGCUCCCAUAAAUAGUUUGGCUGAUACCUUGAGGACUAAAGAAGUGCAUGGUGGGGCACUAGUCCCAGUGGGGCUCCUCAUCUCCUGUCAUGACCCCCUCAGGGACUGGGACUGGUACUCUCUCAGGGACUGGGUUUCGAUUGUCCCUAAUCUUGUCGCAUGUUAGAGCACUUGCAUGUGCACAUUUGCGCACACACACAUGCACACACGCACACGCGCGCACGCGCACACACACGUGCGCGCCUUUCACUUGCUCCUCCGUAGUGGCAGAAAUCAGACCCAUUGUACAGAUGGGGAAGUUGAGGUUCAAAAGAUACAGCCACCCACCCAGGGCCACACUGUGAUUAGAGGCCCUCUGACUCCUGGACCUUUACACCCAUCUAUAGGAGGAUGGCCAGACCUGGUUGGUGAAAUUGAAGUACCCCCACUCCCACUCAAGGCCAGGUCCUCUAGGUAUGGGAGACCUGUCUGAGGAGGAACCUGGUAGGACUCCACAGCCUCCCAGAGGGCACAUCCUGCUCAGGUGACCUCAGCGAGGGUCUCACCUCCAAACCAGUCCAAACCCAAGGGACCUUUCAGAAGUUCCCCAUCACCUUCCCCAAAGACGAGGCACAGCUGCAUUUGAAUCCUCUUCCAGUGCUGGCAAAUUACCUUCUGCAUUUAGCCUGAGUCGCUCAUACAGGAAAGUGCCCUCAGGCCCCAGACUCUGGGCCUGGCUGGGGAAACUAAUAAUGCCCAUGCCCAGGCAGUACUUACCAUGAGCUGGGCAGCAUACUAGGGAAUCUUUAACUCAUUUUCAUUUCCACUUUAAGAGGUUGCCGAUGUUAUCCUCAUUUUUCAGUUGGGAAAACUGAGGUACAGAGUGUUUAAGUAACUUGCCAAGCUUACACAAAGCUGGUGGUAUAUACUGAUGGCAUAAACAAAGUAGAUUUGGUUCUAAUAUGUCUGUGUAUAUAUUUAUAGGGACAAAUAUGGAUAUAUAUGUAUAGGUGUGUGAUAUAUAUGUAAAUAUCUCUAUAGAUGAAUAUAGACGUAUACGCGUGUGUGUUUGUUAGUAUUGCUAUUGUUAUUGUAGUUACAGUUUUUGGCUUAAUCUGUUUGAAUAAUGGACUGAUUCUUGAGCACGUUUCUGUUCCUCUAGAGCUUUGUGAUCUUUUUCCCUACAGGGGCAUUGGGAAUCUGGGGAAUGGACCUUAGGACCUUAUAGAAGUUGUGUUUUUCCACCUUUUGAUCUGAUGAGCAGCUAAGAGAAGCCUCUCUUCUCCACUUCCCCAACCAUGCUGGCUCCAAGUGCCCCCUAGGCCAGGCCCUUGAAGGAAAAAUCAAACCCUAAAUUUGAAGGUUACUGAAGCUGUCCCUCCACCCCCUGUCAAUUUACCAAGAGAGGGUUGGAGGAAAAGUAACCCCUUCACAACAACGUCCAGAGAUGUGUGUGGCCCUUGGUCAGGAACCAAAAUGGUUCUGUUAUCUCAUGUAAUCCUUAUAACAACAAGAGAAGAUAGGUGCUAUUAAGAUUUCAAACCCAGGUCUACUCCAAGCCCCUGGCUCAUGAGGAUCUCUAGGUGACUUCUCUGUUCUCUGCCCUCUGCUCAUGCCAAUAUCAUUGAAGCAUAAUGGGAAGUUACCUACUGCCUCCUAAUGAGUCGAUUUACCAGUCUGUAAAAUGGGCAUAAUGUUGCCGCUUCUCCCUGGGGCCUUGUGAGGAUUAAAUGUGGGGAAGCAGGUGCUCCCAGAAAGUGUAGUUUAGACUGUGUCCUCUCCUGGCACUAUCUUUCUCUGUCCUACCCUUCAUCUACUUGUUCCUCCCAGUAUCACCCAUCCAUCCCUUCCUCCACCUCCACCCCAGCUCCCCGAGUCAAUAUUCAUAAAAAUAACUAAGUUGUCAAAAUGUGACCUGCAGCAUCCUGGGCGAUUCUUUCUUUCUGGCUGGUGCCUUGGGUCUCCUGGGCAGGCAGGUCCCUAUGUCCCCCAGUCCCCCAUCUUGGGGACAGCUUGGCGGGACCUCAACUCACCGUCCCCUGCUCAGCUGUGGAUGCCCUUCUGACUGCCCUCACCCCUCACUUGGCUCUGGUUCCCCAGUGCACCCAGCUGGGAUGUUUCCCUGCUGGAGCCUUCUGCUAGGCUGGAGUGGGGUGAUGUGGAGGGGGGACAGACAGCCAACGUGGCUGCACAGCAUCCUCCCCCUGGAGAGAGAAAGCCCCCAGCCAGGCCUGCUGUGGGUUAGAUAAGGAGCGCAAGCCAUGCAGCUUGUCCUCUUUUUUGUAAUCUCCUCCUCCACCUCCACCGCUCCCUGCCACCGACUCCCCCACUUUUUUUUUAUAUCAUCUUUAUGGCUUUGGAAUGAUCUGGGCUGACACUGCGUUCACUUAGCCAAGGGCAGGUGGGGUCACAGGAGACAACUUACUCCUACGUGUAUAUAUUCAUGGGGGCCGAUAAGGGAGCAGCCCCACCCCCUCCUCCCUAGCGGGGAAGAGAGAAUAAGGAGACUGGCUGGAGGAGAGGUUGGGGACAUGGUGACAACCAGUUCAGGGCAGAAAACAGAUUUUGAGCGCCAGAAACCCUGCGGUGGCAGAGGCGAGCUCUCAGGGAGCUGUGGCCAAACCUCUGAUGGGGAGAAUCAUGUAAGGUCGAAAGAAGCACUGAUUGGCAAAGGAGCUGAGUUUUUAAACUUAUUAUUUUCUUUCUUUCUUUCUUUCUUUCUUUCUUUCUUUCUUUCUUUCUUUCCCUCUCUCCCUCCCUCCCUCACUCCCUCCCUCCCUUCCUUCCUUCCUUCCUUUCUUUCCUUCCUUCCUUCCUUCUUUCCUUCCCUCCUUUCCCUUCUCCUUCUUCUUCUUCUUCUUUUUUUUUUUUUUUAAAAGAUGGAGUCUCUCUAUGUUGCCCAGGCAGAACUCGAACUCCUGGGCUCAAGUGAUCCUUCUGCCUUGGCCUCCAGACUAGCUCUGCCUAACUAGAUGAACUGAAUUUUAUCUCUAAAUAUUCUUUUCUUCCUUCCCCGCUCCCUCGCUCCCUUCUUUCCUUCCCCCUGCCUCCCUCUCUCCCUUCCUUCCUUCCUUCUUUCCUUCCUUCCUUCCCUCCCUCUCUCCUUCCUUCCCUCCCUCUCUCCUCUCUCUCCUUCCUUCCUUCUCCCCUCCAUCCUUCCUUCCUUCCUUCCUCUUCCUUCCUUCGCUCCCUCCCUCCCUUCCUCCCUCCCCCUCCCUCCCUCCUUUCCUUCCUUCCUUCCCUCCCUCUCUCCUUCCUUCCUUACCUCUCUCCUCUCUCUCCUUCCUUCCUUCUCCCCUCCAUCCCUCCUUCCUUCCUUCCUCUUCCUUCCUUCGCUCCCUCCCUCCCUUCCUCCCUCCCCCUCCCUCCCUCCUUUCCUUCCUUCCUUCCUCCCCUUCCUCCCUCCUUCCUUCUUUCCCUUCUUCCUCCUUCCCUCCCUCAAACAGUAGACCUUGAGUUUCAGGACACGGUUUUAGUUGUUACCUGGUUCGAGCCUGGCUUUUGCAGGCUGUGUGACACUGGGAAUACAGAUAUGUUCACAGCGCUCAAAAGAAAAGUGAUACUGAACUUAUGAAGCAGAUAAAUUAGGGGUGAUUAUUCUCAUUACAAAAGGAUACACUACAGGGAUUCUUUAAGUGAAUGUUAGCCAAGGACAGAGACUGGGUCUGUCUUCACUGUUGGCUUCUCAGCCCCUUACAUGGGAACUGGCACUUAGGAGGGGCUCAGCAGGUUCUCUCUCUGUCACCCAGGCUGGAGUGUAGUGACUCAAUCAUAGCUCAUUGCGGCCUCAAACUCCUAGACUCAAGUGAUCCUCCCACCUCAGCCUCCCAAGUAGAUGGAACUACAGAGACAAGAUCUCACAAUGUUGCCCAAGCUGGUCUUGAACUCCUGGCCUCAAGUGAUCCUCCUGCUUCAGCCUCCUGAGUUGCUGGGAUUACAGGCGUGAGCCGCUGCACCCAGCUUUAGUCAACCAAGACAGCAGCAAUGCAAAACAAAAUGAAGGCGCUCAGAGAGACACAGGGGACAUGCCGAGGAGCCCUGGAGGAAGGGGAGAAUUAUUCUGAUGGGAGAGAUCUGGAAGGACGAGGCUGGAGUGAGAUGGAAUGGUGGAACAGCAGGCAGGGGAUUGCGCUUGCUGGUACCUGGUUCUGGGAGCGGGGGCUGGGUCUUUUCUUUCAGGUUCCUCUCGUUUGGAAUUGAUUCUGAUGCUCCUAAAAGAUGGUUCACCUGAUCCCCUUGAAAUGAUCAUACUGAAGUAGGUGCCAGAGGGGACCAAUAGUUACCAAGAACUUACCAUGUGCUGGACCUACAUAAAAUAUUUCACUUGUGCUGCUUGACUUAAUCUUCACAUUGGCUGAUGCCAGCCAAGUGAUGGUAUCCUAAUUUCAGGGAUUCGGAAACAGGCCCAGAGAGGUUGUGACUUUUCUAAGCACACACAGCAAAUAAAUGCUGAGGCUGGGAUUUGAACUCAA